GUGGUGGAUUAGUGGCGAACCGGUGAGUAACACGUGAGUAACCUGCCCCUGACUCUGGGAUAAGCGUUGGAAACGACGUCUAAUACUGGAUAUGACUGCCGGCCGCAUGGUCUGGUGGUGGAAAGAUUUUUUGGUUGGGGAUGGACUCGCGGCCUAUCAGCUUGUUGGUGAGGUAAUGGCUCACCAAGGCGACGACGGGUAGCCGGCCUGAGAGGGUGACCGGCCACACUGGGACUGAGACACGGCCCAGACUCCUACGGGAGGCAGCAGUGGGGAAUAUUGCACAAUGGGCGAAAGCCUGAUGCAGCAACGCCGCGUGAGGGAUGACGGCCUUCGGGUUGUAAACCUCUUUUAGUAGGGAAGAAGCGUAAGUGACGGUACCUGCAGAAAAAGCACCGGCUAACUACGUGCCAGCAGCCGCGGUAAUACGUAGGGUGCAAGCGUUGUCCGGAAUUAUUGGGCGUAAAGAGCUCGUAGGCGGUUUGUCGCGUCUGCUGUGAAAUCCCGAGGCUCAACCUCGGGCUUGCAGUGGGUACGGGCAGACUAGAGUGCGGUAGGGGAGAUUGGAAUUCCUGGUGUAGCGGUGGAAUGCGCAGAUAUCAGGAGGAACACCGAUGGCGAAGGCAGAUCUCUGGGCCGUAACUGACGCUGAGGAGCGAAAGCGUGGGGAGCGAACAGGAUUAGAUACCCUGGUAGUCCACGCCGUAAACGUUGGGCGCUAGAUGUAGGGACCUUUCCACGGUUUCUGUGUCGUAGCUAACGCAUUAAGCGCCCCGCCUG
This 780-nucleotide ribosomal RNA is filed under the name Curtobacterium sp. Pd-E-(s)-l-D-6(4). RNAcentral describes it as "bacterial SSU rRNA". It matches the Rfam family "Bacterial small subunit ribosomal RNA", at positions 84 to 875 of the family's 1533-position model. Lineage: Bacteria; Bacillati; Actinomycetota; Actinomycetes; Micrococcales; Microbacteriaceae. The record is from RNAcentral.